UCACAUCACAACAUGAUUGUCAGCAAGUCUGCUCUGUGGUUAACCCUGACUUCCAUCCUGUGUCUCUCCUGCUGCACAGCCCUGGCUGGCAAAGGCAACACUGGACCAGUAUGGAAAGAGAUCGGAGGAUCCAUCACUAUUCAGUGUAAAACCACCAUGAAAGAUUCAAUCUCCAUGUCUUUGCGUUGGGGUCUUCAUGAGCAGGUUGAAAUCCUCUCCGCUGCGAAGUCGACGAGUAAUGUAACAAUCAAGGAAGACCUUAAGCACAGAGUCAAGGCAAAAAAAAAUUACCCCACGCUUGACAUUGUCAUCAGAAACUUGACCGUGGAGGACACAGGAGCAUACUGGUGUCUAUACAAAAAGCUUGACUCAACAGACUACAGUCUCAAACAGGAAAAAGGCGAUGGCUCAGUCCUCCUGGUGGUGAAAGGUGCGGCGCUGUCCUGUGAGGAUAAGGACUCUUCUGAAAAACCACCCAGUACUCUGGUCCUGAUGAGUGUUUUGACUGCUGGCAUUGUGCUUCUCAUCACCUUUGUUCUUCUCUUCAUAUGGAUUAUAUUCAAGAUCAAGGCUAUACGCGGCAGCCCAAAACCAAGGCGGGUCAACACCAAUGAUGUUUACGAGGACAUGCGGGGCACCAUUAGACGCUAGAGGUGCCAGUGUGGGAAGUGAUGUGAUGCAAGCCGGCGCCUGAAGAGCCCGAAGAGCCUCACUCUCGCUGUACGCUGGAAGCUCACAUGAUAUGGAGCAAGUAGCAGCUUUCCACGUUUCUCUGUGUAUGUGUGUGUGUGUAGAGAGAGAGAGAGAAAGAGAGAGAGAGAGAGAGAGAGAGAGAGAGAGUAAUGUGCAUGUACAGCAAAAUGGUAAAAUCUGACAACACAUUGCUACCACAGACUAUGUAGGGGACAAUGGGGUAACAUGAGCCACUUUUUGCAUUUGAUAAUUUUAUUGCAAAAUAAAUGUGUAUUUGUUUUAAAUAAUAGUUAUAAUAUAUACCUCAGGUGGUUGUGUACCCAUCGAAAUCAAAACAAGUUAUCUAAUUAUUAUGGUUUUAGAAAAAUGACCCCUCAAAAACAUGUGGUCCUUUGGCACAACUUACCCCACGGUAGGGGUAAAAAGAGCAUUGAGACGAGGUAAACUGAGCCCUCUAGUGGUAAGUAGUGAGAUACUUUUGAAUGUUAUUAAUGUCACCAACUUAACAAAAGCAAAAACUCACAAUUUAAAGUUAAACAUAGUGUCUGUGGAAGGCAGUGGCUCUUGAAAAUGAUAUAGCCUGCAGGGUGGUGGCACUGUCUGAAGAGUUCAAAGCGGUCACGACUUCGGUGAAAACACAUUAUAGUAAUGCUGUUUUUACUUGCUUGCUGACUCAAAUGCAUGUUCUCUGCAUUUUAAGGGAAUUAAUCCAUGAAAUUGGUCUGCAGGAUUCUUGAUGUAGCUGGCAAGUUCAAACUCUAUGUUAUCAUCAAAAAUCAGAUGAGCUUUUGCUUGGCUGGAAUAACCUGUUCUGGAAACGUCCCUUCGUUUUGUUGCUACAUGUCGUCAGUGUGAUCCUGUCUAUCCUGUGGCAACAGACAUAAUGGAGCCAACCUCUGACACGUGUCUUGCUGCUCCUUUUAAAUCAUCCAAAGAAAGUGAGCCGCUAUUUGUCUUUUUUUGCACUACCUUACCAUCUUGAUCUCUAGAAAAUCAGAAAAUAAUUGCACAGGUUACUCUGCACGUAUGUAGCCUUUUUAAACUAUUUAAACACAGCCUCCAUUUGACGCUGUUUCAACGCUGUUUCACAAAGUGGCUCGAAUCCACAAGUAUCCACAAGUUUAUGAACUUGUUUUGUACCUUACACUGACUUAAAUUAACAUCUAACAAUGUCCAAAAUUUAUCUAUUUUAUUUAAGAUACAAAACAGAUAACUUAAGAUACAUGAUUAAUUUACUUUACAUGACAAACAUAAAUUUUUCUGGCUCUGGUUUGAUUGCCACUCUCUCAAUGAUGGAUUCCAUAAUGUGAGUUAUACUUCCUUAAUUUGUGGUCACAUGAUUACUCUUGGCUAUGGUUACCUAGAUAGAGAGGGUGGUUCAUUUUAUCCACUGGCUCAACCUACCCCAUUCUCCCCUAUAUGUGAUUUUGCAGUGACAUAACAUAGCUCCGUCUGAAAUGGAGAAAAAAAAACACAAGCCUUUGGGUCAGGCUUAUUUUUAAGCACCAAAGAAUCAAAAAUGCGCCCCAGUUUGGGCAGCCUUUGAUGCAUUGUAUUUUUAAUGUAAAUAGGUCUUCUGUGACUGAAGCUUUUUUGAAAGUUUUUUGUUUGUACAGGUGUUCAUACCAUCCCUACAGAUGUUUUAAUCAACUACAUAUAGGAAUUGUUACUUGAAAUGCAAUAAAAGAAAGACAUGAUCAAGACACAGGGUCUAUGUGUAAAAAGUUUUAAAAUAAAUGAAUACAUACAUAAAUGAAGUCAUUAGGCUGCCGCUUGACUCUUGGACUAGUAUGUAGCAUGAGGCAUUUCCUAACACUUUAUGCAUUUUUUUGAUUCCUCAUCAAAAUCAUAAAUGGUGUAUUAUCUAUUCUUAUCCAACACCAUUGAUUUACAGAGUACAAGCAGGAAGAACUUAAAUUUGUAUAAAAAUGUGGGUAAUUUGUUAUUUUUGAUGUUCUCUGACAGAAACAGAGGCAAACUAUGCCCCCAGUGUUAAAUGUCAUGGUGAAGCGGUCAGGUCGGGAGAGGGAAGUGAUCACUAUACACAAACAUCUGAAACCAGUCAGUGCCAAAUAAAAACAUGUUUAAUCUGUAAACCAAGGUACUGAUGAGAAAUCAUUCACUGUUUUGAAAGUGUUUGUAAUCUGAAAAGCGGCUGAAAUAUUUUAAGUAAGUUAAGAAUAAGGAGACAGAGAUCCUCUAUAGGUAAAGAGAUCGUCUGCAUAUAAAGACAGUCUAUACUCUGUACGAGUGAUUCUCAAACUUUGAU
This is an RNA transcript of Myripristis murdjan (pinecone soldierfish), 2962 nucleotides long. It is a transcript of the gene named T-cell immunoreceptor with Ig and ITIM domains, with no coding region annotated. The record is from RefSeq and is a predicted model, not a curated record. NCBI's taxonomy places the organism in Eukaryota, Metazoa, Chordata, Actinopteri, Holocentriformes, Holocentridae. The transcript is spliced from 5 exons.